This 483-nucleotide ribosomal RNA is filed under the name uncultured bacterium. RNAcentral's name for it is "partial 16S ribosomal RNA". It matches the Rfam family "Bacterial small subunit ribosomal RNA", at positions 28 to 507 of the family's 1533-position model. The record is from RNAcentral.
GACGAACGCUGGCGGCGUGCCUAACACAUGCAAGUCGAGCGGGGAUUUAAGUGGAAGUUCUUCGGAAUGGAGAUUUAAAUUCUAGCGGCGGACGGGUGAGUAACGCGUGAACAAUCUGUCCCGGACAGGGGGAUAACACUUGGAAACAGGUGCUAAUACCGCAUAAGACCACGGCCUCGCAUGGGGCUGCGGUAAAAGGAGCAAUCCGGUUCGGGGUGAGUUCGCGUCCGAUUAGCUAGUUGGUGAGGUAACGGCCCACCAAGGCGACGAUCGGUAGCCGGCCUGAGAGGGUGAACGGCCACAUUGGAAAUGAGAGACGGUCCAAACGCCUACGGGAGGAAGCAGUGGGGAAUAUUGGGCAAUGGGCGAAAGCCUGACCCAGCAACGCCGCGUGAGGGAAGAAGGUUUUCGGAUUGUAAACCUCUGUCCUAUGGGACGAAGGAAGUGACGGUACCAUAGGAGGAAGCCCCGGCUAACUACGUG